GCUUAGGUCGUUAACCAUCAUUAUACCUAGUAGAUCAAAUGUGAACCCUUAAGUGUAUUCAAACUUCCACGAUUUAAGCUGUUCUAUGUAUUUAACAUUUUCGUUCACUGCUCAUACAAAAUAAGCAAAUUAUCAGUGCAUUACAUACUUAUAUUUUUUCCUUAGUUAACUGUUAUGCCUAUUUGUUUUUGUUCACACAGUGUUGUUA
This 208-nucleotide long non-coding RNA is filed under the name Mytilus galloprovincialis (Mediterranean mussel). The record is from RNAcentral. Lineage: Eukaryota; Metazoa; Mollusca; Bivalvia; Mytilida; Mytilidae.